GAGCAUCGAGUAUUGAGAAACCAAACAAAACUAGAAUGCGGCAGCAAUUUGAGCACAGAAAUGUAUUUUAUCAUCACGGAAAGAAAAGAAGAAAAAUUACCUAUGUUGUUUGCUCUAUGGAAUGAAGAUUUCGCUUUUCGCAAGUCCUUCACUAGAAGCAGGUACGUGUCUGGCUUAUUGCAGCAGAAACCGCACUCUUUCUUCACUGCUAUUUGGGAAUCGAGGGAUUUGGAUUGGGGGUAGUCUUUCUUUAAACACAAACCUGAAUAUGUUUGGGCCUUUCGCUAACAGGGCCUGCAGUCGGUGUAGUCGCCGGCGACGUGCUUGCAGCCUUGCCCAGAAACCUGCAGUUGCAGGUGAGGUCGCUGCCCAGAAACCUGCAACUCCGACCUCCUCCGACCUCGAAUGCUGCCCAGAACCGUCCGCCAAGCCUCCGGCCUCCGUCCGCCAAGCCCCGAGCCGCGGUCGCCGCCUGGAACGCCGCCGCUGCGUCGUCGUCCUCACUUUAGCAAAGUGCGGACGUCCUCUUUGGAACGGGCCUAUAUAUAUAUAUAUAUAUAUAUACAGCAAGGUUGUAAAGAGGACGUCCGUGAUAUACUUGAUCUGCGGAUGUGCCAUUCUGAGCCGUCCAUUGAUUUAAAUGAAAACAAACGGCUCAGAUCGAGAUUUUCCAAAAACAAUCGCGGGUCAAAUAUAUAGCUCUGUGCUUCAACCCUGACUCAGAGGAGUCAAUGACAAAACCAGAGUUCUCGUCUCGACUGCUCCGACCAAAAUCCAGUUCUCCAACCCGACUCCCAGCGAUGCAACCAAAGUCUGGUUCUCCACCCAAAAUCCAGGUCUUCUCGUUAUUGAUACUAGAAACUCGUCUCAGGUUGCACGAUUGUUGCAACCCAAUCUUUCUUUUUUUCUUCCUCUCAUGAAAAUUGUAGUUCUCUUAUGGUCCCAUCCUCCCUUGAGGUUUUCGCGUCAAAAGUUGGAGACUUGGAAGCAAAGAAGCACAUCUAGACAUUGCUGGCAUAUGCCUCAUGUUUACUGGGAACUCGUUUUUUCUGUGGGCUAAAAGGAAAGGAAGGUUCCCUCGACUGUUUAUCAUAGUUAGACGAAUGUCGGAUGAAAUGAAGUAUCGGCACAUGAAUGGAUUCCAUGAUAAAAGGGUUUAGUUAAUGUUAAUUUUGAGUACUGGUCUUGUUCUGGUGGUUUGGUGAAUUGAAACUAUGUUUAUCUUA
Long non-coding RNA from Rosa rugosa (rugosa rose), 1226 nucleotides. RefSeq lists it as uncharacterized. The record is from RefSeq and is a predicted model, not a curated record. The transcript is spliced from 3 exons. Lineage: Eukaryota; Viridiplantae; Streptophyta; Magnoliopsida; Rosales; Rosaceae.